RNAcentral lists this ribosomal RNA (404 nucleotides) under Actinomycetes bacterium. RNAcentral describes it as "Actinobacteria bacterium partial 16S ribosomal RNA". It matches the Rfam family "Bacterial small subunit ribosomal RNA", at positions 355 to 776 of the family's 1533-position model. Lineage: Bacteria; Bacillati; Actinomycetota; Actinomycetes. The record is from RNAcentral.
UGGGGAAUAUUGGACAAUGGGCGCAAGCCUGCUCCAGCCAUGCCGCGUGAGUGAUGAAGGCUCUAGGGUUGUAAAGCUCUUUCACCGGUGAAGAUAAUGACGGUAACCGGAGAAGAAGCCCCGGCUAACUUCGUGCCAGCAGCCGCGGUAAUACGAAGGGGGCUAGCGUUGUUCGGAUUUACUGGGCGUAAAGCGCACGUAGGCGGACUAUUAAGUCAGGGGUGAAAUCCCGGGGCUCAACCCCGGAACUGCCUUUGAUACUGGUAGUCUUGAGUUCGAGAGAGGUGAGUGGAAUUCCGAGUGUAGAGGUGAAAUUCGUAGAUAUUCGGAGGAACACCAGUGGCGAAGGCGGCUCACUGACUCAAUACUGACGCUGAGGUGCGAAAGCGUGGGGAGCAAACAGG